AUUGAACGCUGGCGGCAGGCCUAACACAUGCAAGUCGAGCGGAUGAAGGGAGCUUGCUCCUGGAUUCAGCGGCGGACGGGUGAGUAAUGCCUAGGAAUCUGCCUGGUAGUGGGGGAUAACGUCCGGAGACGGGCGCUAAUACCGCAUACGUCCUGAGGGAGAAAGUGGGGGAUCUUCGGACCUCACGCUAUCAGAUGAGCCUAGGUCGGAUUAGCUAGUUGGUGGGGUAAAGGCCUACCAAGGCGACGAUCCGUAACUGGUCUGAGAGGAUGAUCAGUCACACUGGAACUGAGACACGGUCCAGACUCCUACGGGAGGCAGCAGUGGGGAAUAUUGGACAAAGGGCGAAAGCCUGAUCCAGCCAUGCCGCGUGUGUGAAGAAGGUCUUCGGAUUGUAAAGCACUUUAAGUUGGGAGGAAGGGCGGUAAGUUAAUACCUUGCUGUUUUGACGUUACCAACAGAAUAAGCACCGGCUAACUUCGUG
RNAcentral lists this ribosomal RNA (484 nucleotides) under uncultured bacterium. RNAcentral's name for it is "partial 16S ribosomal RNA". It matches the Rfam family "Bacterial small subunit ribosomal RNA", at positions 30 to 507 of the family's 1533-position model. The record is from RNAcentral.